CCCGAUGGCUCAGUGGUAAAGCAUCUGCCUGCAAUGCAGAAGACCAGGUUUCAAGCCCUGGGUCAGGA
Molecule: transfer RNA, 68 nt
Filed under: Ovis aries (sheep)
Lineage: Eukaryota; Metazoa; Chordata; Mammalia; Artiodactyla; Bovidae
Rfam family: tRNA
About the family: Transfer RNA (tRNA) molecules are approximately 80 nucleotides in length.
Source: Rfam by way of RNAcentral